AGAUUGAGCGCUGGCGGCAUGCCUAACACAUGCAAGUCGAACGGGAGUAGCAAUACUCUAGUGGCGGACGGGUGAGGAAUACGUAGGAAUUUGCCCUUAAGUGGGGGAUAACCCGGGGAAACCCGGAUUAAUACCGCAUGACCUCGAAAGAGCAAAGUGGGGGAUCGCAAGACCUCACGCUUUUGGAGAAGCCUACGUCGGAUUAGCUAGUUGGUGAGGUAAUGGCUCACCAAGGCGACGAUCCGUAACUGGUCUGAGAGGAUGAUCAGUCACACCGGAACUGAGACACGGUCCGGACUCCUACGGGAGGCAGCAGUGGGGAAUAUUGGACAAUGGGCGCAAGCCUGAUCCAGCAAUGCCGCGUGUGCGAAGAAGGCCUUCGGGUUAGUAAAGACCCAAUUUAAGUUAGGAAGAAAAAACGUACGACGUACUAACACAGUGAGUCUUGACGGUACCGACAGAAUAAGCACCGGCUAACUCUGUGCCACGCACGCCGGC
Molecule: ribosomal RNA, 498 nt
Filed under: uncultured soil bacterium
Lineage: Bacteria
Description: bacterial SSU rRNA
Rfam family: Bacterial small subunit ribosomal RNA
Source: RNAcentral